UGGGGGAUAUUGCACAAUGGGCGAAAGCCUGAUGCAGCGACGCCGCGUGGGGGAUGAAGGCCUUCGGGUUGUAAACUUCUUUUGCUCUGAACAAGGCGCACCAUGGGGUGUGUUGAGUGUAGCGGUUGAUUAGCGCCGGCUAACUACGUGCCAGCAGCCGCGGUAAUACGUAGGGCGCGAGCGUUGUCCGGAAUUAUUGGGCGGAACGGGCUCGUAGGUGGCUGGUUGCGUCUGUCGUGAAAGCUCAUGGCUUAACUGUGGGUUUGCGGUUGCUACGGGCUGGCUUGAUGGCUGUACGAGAGGCUAGCAGUCCUGGUGUAGCUGUUGAAUGCGCAGAUAUCAGGGGGAAUACCGGUGGCGAAGGCGGGUCUCUGGGCUGUUACUGACACUGAGGAGCGAAAGCAUGGGGAGCGAACAGGA
This 420-nucleotide ribosomal RNA is filed under the name bacterium. RNAcentral's name for it is "partial 16S ribosomal RNA". It matches the Rfam family "Bacterial small subunit ribosomal RNA", at positions 355 to 777 of the family's 1533-position model. The record is from RNAcentral.